This is a small nuclear RNA of Leucoraja erinaceus (little skate), 107 nucleotides long. The record is from RefSeq and is a predicted model, not a curated record. Lineage: Eukaryota; Metazoa; Chordata; Chondrichthyes; Rajiformes; Rajidae.
GUGCUUGCUUCAGCAGCAUAUAUACCAGAAUUGGAACGAUGCAGAGAAAAUUAGCAUGGCCCCUGCGCAAGGAUGACACACACAUUUGUGAAGCGUUCCAUGGCUAC